UGGGGAAUUUUGGACAAUGGGCGCAAGCCUGAUCCAGCAAUGCCGCGUGCAGGAUGAAGGCCUUCGGGUUGUAAACUGCUUUUGUACGGAACGAAAAGCUUCUGGUUAAUACCUGGGAGUCAUGACGGUACCGUAAGAAUAAGCACCGGCUAACUACGUGCCAGCAGCCGCGGUAAUACGUAGGGUGCGAGCGUUAAUCGGAAUUACUGGGCGUAAAGCGUGCGCAGGCGGGUAUGUAAGACAGAGGUGAAAUCCCCGGGCUCAACCUGGGAACUGCCUUUGUGACUGCAUGGCUAGAGUGCGGCAGGGGGGGAAGGAAUUCCGCGUGUAGCAGUGAAAUGCGUAGAUAUGCGGAGGAACACCGAUGGCGAAGGCAAUCCCCUGGGCCUGCACUGACGCUCAUGCACGAAAGCGUGGAGAGCAAACA
RNAcentral lists this ribosomal RNA (427 nucleotides) under uncultured bacterium. Its description in RNAcentral is "bacterial SSU rRNA". It matches the Rfam family "Bacterial small subunit ribosomal RNA", at positions 355 to 774 of the family's 1533-position model. The record is from RNAcentral.